Molecule: transfer RNA, 86 nt
Filed under: Hyphococcus sp.
Lineage: Bacteria; Pseudomonadati; Pseudomonadota; Alphaproteobacteria; Parvularculales; Parvularculaceae
Description: tRNA-Leu
Rfam family: tRNA
About the family: Transfer RNA (tRNA) molecules are approximately 80 nucleotides in length. Their secondary structure includes four short double-helical elements and three loops (D, anti-codon, and T loops).
Source: RNAcentral
GCCCAGGUGGCGGAAUGGUAGACGCGCCAGCUUCAGGUGCUGGUGUCCGUAAGGACGUGGAAGUUCGAGUCUUCUCCUGGGCACCA